This 514-nucleotide ribosomal RNA is filed under the name uncultured bacterium. Its description in RNAcentral is "partial 16S ribosomal RNA". It matches the Rfam family "Bacterial small subunit ribosomal RNA", at positions 28 to 523 of the family's 1533-position model. The record is from RNAcentral.
GACGAACGCUGGCGGCAUGCCUAAUACAUGCAAGUCGAGCGGACAGAAGGGAGCUUGCUCCUGGAAGCCAGCGGCGGACGGGUGAGUAACACGUGGGCAACCUGCCCUUUAGAUUGGGAUAACUUCGGGAAACCGAAGCUAAUACCGAAUAAUACAAGGAACCUCCUGGUUCUCUGUUGAAAGAUGGCCUUUGUGCUAUCACUAAAGGAUGGGCCCGCGGCGCAUUAGCUAGUUGGUAAGGUAACGGCUUACCAAGGCGACGAUGCGUAGCCGACCUGAGAGGGUGAGCGGCCACACUGGGACUGAGACACGGCCCAGACUCCUACGGGAGGCAGCAGUAGGGAAUCUUCCGCAAUGGACGAAAGUCUGACGGAGCAAUGCCGCGUGAGUGAGGAAGGCCUUCGGGUCGUAAAGCUCUGUUGUGAGGGAAGAACAAGUACCGGCGUAACUACCGGUACCGUGACGGUACCUCACCAGAAAGCCACAGCUAACUACGUGCCAGCCGCCGCCGUAA